Molecule: unclassified non-coding RNA, 199 nt
Filed under: uncultured fungus
Lineage: Eukaryota; Fungi
Description: partial contains 18S rRNA, ITS1, 5.8S rRNA
Source: RNAcentral
GCAGAAGGAUCAUUAUUGAAUUGUAAAAAUGGGGAGUCGCUUUCGAGCACUCCUCUACCUUUCUUUAUUCCUAAACACCUGUGAAUCGUUGCUGAGUUCGCUCAGUGGCACCAAUUUAAACACAUUUAUAGUUUUGAACGUAAAAAAAAACAAAAAAACAAAAAUAUAACUUUUGACAACGGAUCUCUUGGUUCUCCCA